RNAcentral lists this ribosomal RNA (443 nucleotides) under uncultured bacterium. RNAcentral describes it as "partial 16S ribosomal RNA". It matches the Rfam family "Bacterial small subunit ribosomal RNA", at positions 338 to 795 of the family's 1533-position model. The record is from RNAcentral.
CCUACGGGCGGCAGCAGUGGGGAAUAUUGGGCAAUGGGCGCAAGCCUGACCCAGCAACGCCGCGUGAAGGAAGAAGGCUUUCGGGUUGUAAACUUCUUUUGUCAGGGACGAAGCAAGUGACGGUACCUGACGAAUAAGCCACGGCUAACUACGUGCCAGCAGCCGCGGUAAUACGUAGGUGGCAAGCGUUAUCCGGAUUUAUUGGGUGUAAAGGGCGUGUAGGCGGGAAUGCAAGUCAGAUGUGAAAACUAUGGGCUCAACCCAUAGCCUGCAUUUGAAACUGUAUUGCUUGAGUGCGGGGGAGGCAAUCGGAAUUCGGGGUGUAGCGGUGAAAUGCGUAGAUAUGCGGAGGAACACCAGUGGCGAAGGCGGAUUGCUGGACAGUAACUGACGCUGAGGCGCGAAAGCGUGGGGAGCAAACAGGAUUAGAUACCCCUGUAGUC